UACGUAGGGUGCGAGCGUUAAUCGGAAUUACUGGGCGUAAAGCGUGCGCAGGCGGUUCUCCAAGUCCGUUGUGAAAGCCCGGGCUCAACCUGGGAAUGGCAGUGGAAACUAGGGGACUGGAAUCUGGCAGAGGGGGGUGGAAUGCCGCGGUGUAGCAGUGAAAUGCGUAGAGAUGCGGCGGAACACCGAUGGCGAAGGCAGCCCCUGGGCCUGCAC
This 216-nucleotide ribosomal RNA is filed under the name uncultured bacterium. RNAcentral's name for it is "partial 16S ribosomal RNA". It matches the Rfam family "Bacterial small subunit ribosomal RNA", at positions 524 to 740 of the family's 1533-position model. The record is from RNAcentral.